This 73-nucleotide microRNA precursor is filed under the name Astyanax mexicanus (Mexican tetra). RNAcentral describes it as "mir-148/mir-152 microRNA precursor family". It matches the Rfam family "mir-148/mir-152 microRNA precursor family". From Rfam's summary of the family: The hairpin precursors (represented here) are predicted based on base pairing and cross-species conservation -- their extents are not known. Lineage: Eukaryota; Metazoa; Chordata; Actinopteri; Characiformes; Acestrorhamphidae. The record is from Rfam by way of RNAcentral.
CUCAGGCAAAGUUCUGUGGUCCACUCUGACCGUGUGACACUGUGGUCAGUGCAUUACAGAACUUUGCUUUAGU